Molecule: long non-coding RNA, 267 nt
Organism: Gossypium raimondii (Peruvian cotton)
Lineage: Eukaryota; Viridiplantae; Streptophyta; Magnoliopsida; Malvales; Malvaceae
Exons: 2
Source: RefSeq, a predicted model, not a curated record
UUGCAGGUCUGCUUAUUAUGAUGCGCAGUUACCACUUGAGAUUUUGAGAGAAUAUUUUACCACGUCUAAUUCCAGUAUGCUAAUAGUUUGCUGACUUUUAUAUUUUUGUUCUUUUUUUCCUUUUCCUGCAGAGCCAUUUAUAUGAUCUUUAGUUUUCACAUAAAACCUCGAUUUCAUACGGCACGAUUUCAUGGUUCUGAGGAUGCGAAAGAUGAUAUAUUGCACGUGGAAUUGUUAAAGCCAUAGGACACUUCAAGGGGACCUGGU